CUUGUAGUGCCGGAGCAUAAACGGGAUGCCUUGAUGUGGCAUAAACGAUUAAUUAUUAAUCUUACAAGA
This 69-nucleotide transfer RNA is filed under the name Hoplopleura edentula. Its description in RNAcentral is "tRNA-Ile". The record is from RNAcentral. Lineage: Eukaryota; Metazoa; Arthropoda; Insecta; Psocodea; Hoplopleuridae.